UACGCUUGUUGUUGACUUCUUAUAAGUUUUUCUUAAAAACUACUCAUUUAAAUAAUACUUCUAGCAAAGUUAUAAGUUUUUAUGUCCUAUAAAGCACUUUGUCAGUAACAUAAUGAAUCCUUAAAAACUAAUUUUAUUCUCUGUAUUAACUUGACAACCCUUAUUACUCUCUUCCCAUCUCCCUCCCUUACACUGCACACCAAGAGAAACCAAAACCGGUGUUGAUAAACGCCAAACAGCUGAGCGCCUUGACCGCACUUUCAAAUUAGAGAGCGCAACGUCCAAUUAGCAUUUCCUCAGUAUCUUUGUAUCUUUGUUUUUUUUUGUUUACAAAAUUGAUUCGCCCACUCGCAAGUCGAAUUCCCCAGAUUUUCACAGAACAACACCUUUGCGUACAUAUGUUCUCUUUAUCUCGACUGCUGCCUUUAUAUGGAAUCUGCUUAUCGACGGCAAAGAAAUGUUUGCCGCGCUUUUAUCGUAAUUGCGCUAAUUAGAAUCACAAUUGGGCCAAUUCGAUUUUGAUUCGUUGUAAACAGACUGCUAAUGGAAGUACAGUAUAUAUAGGGUAUAAGCUCUCGUCUGCUAAUUACCAAGGUAAAUAUUUUGAAUUGGAUACAACUAUGAUGGGGCAUCCGAGUAUUACUGCUUUCUCCCUGUUCGACAACCUUCACAAGGCCGUAGCGCCGCGAAAGACGUUCCACGGAUCAAUGGUUCCCGUAAAUUUACCGAAAAUGACAGAUAAUGACGAUGGGGCUUGCCGCACAACAUGUUAUCAUUAAAUCGCACUCGUAUCUCGGGACGCCAUUCGGUCGGGAUUCAUCCAUCCAAGCGCAUUACGCGCAUUCGUUCCGCAUUUCUCCUGCUGCCCGCUGCCACCCAACGCCCCCGGCCACUGCCACGCCCACACCUCCAGGACGACCUUGGUGCCGACCCCCUCAUUCAAUCAGAGGCGACUCAACAGAUUGCCUGUCGUUUGCCUGCCAGUGGAGCUGAAGCAAUUCCAAUUCAAUUUUAGCUGCGAUGACGAAGCCGGCGACAACGCUUGCUCCGACAGGGAUUUUCGCAUUUUUUUGUAAAAAAUUCGAAAUGGAAGCGGGAGUCGGCCGGGAGGUGGGCGUGGUGCCCGGCCGAGCACAUUGUAAGCAAUCAGCGCAGGAUGGGGGGCGGGAGAAAUCUCCAGCUGUCAAGCGGGGCUCCAGAUAAAAACUACCUCCCAUACAGGACGUACAGGACAUGCACACCAUUCACCACCGGAACGGACCCCCAGCCACGGUUAAUAUCAUCUCAGGCUCAGACUCUCGAACAAACAGGUUGUGCCAUAACCUUUCCACACUCGUGGUCAAGUGCUAGUAAAUUGACUGCCUCCGUUUAAACAAGCAACCGCUGUGAAAGACAUCGUAAGUGAAAUUGAACGCUUGGACUUACGGCAGAAAAAGAGGCGUUGAACCUAUGUGGCUUCGAUUGUGACAAUCCAGGCGGAUAAACAAUAUUUUGCUGGACUUAAAAUAUAACUAAAAAAAAUACCUUUAAAAAUCAA
This is a long non-coding RNA of Drosophila biarmipes, 1537 nucleotides long. RefSeq lists it as uncharacterized. The transcript has 3 exons. Lineage: Eukaryota; Metazoa; Arthropoda; Insecta; Diptera; Drosophilidae. The record is from RefSeq and is a predicted model, not a curated record.